RNAcentral lists this long non-coding RNA (1171 nucleotides) under Zonotrichia albicollis (white-throated sparrow). RNAcentral's name for it is "lncRNA (ENSZALG00000010237.1)". The record is from RNAcentral. Lineage: Eukaryota; Metazoa; Chordata; Aves; Passeriformes; Passerellidae.
CGUCUGUAGGAACAGGGGCUGCUUUGAGCCUUCCUGAGCCCUCCGGGUGUGAAGCUGCAGUGAGAACUUGUGCAAACACACGCGCUGUUAGCCGGCAGCUGAAUUCAGCAGAAAUCACCGGCUCUGCCUUCGCAAGGAAAACAAAGCCGGUGGAACGAGGCCGGGCAAAUGGAACAAAAGCGCCUUGCUAACUUGGUUAUUUUAACAGAUUUACUGGAAAGCACAGAGGAGGCAGUGCUGGGCUCAGCUGGCACACAGCGUUUCUCCUCACGGCUCCAUCGCUGCUCUCCGUGGAUCUGUGAGACCGACAAACCCCUGGCUGGUGGCAGCACUUGGCCAUUUCUGCUCCGAGCUGCCUGCAGCAUCCAGUUCUUGUUUGGGAUUUUUCCCUCCGCCCCCACUGCAUUUCACAGCAUUCUGCUGAGCAGGAGGGGGCUCUGAGCAGGGAGAUUCACCUGCAGCAAACCCGAGGAGUUCGGGCAGGGAUGGAGGGAGAAGGAGCCCCCAAGCUCCAACCAGCCCUGCAGGGGCUCUCACCUCCUCCAGAGCAUCCUCGGGAUCUUUAGCUGGUCAGAAUGACUUCGAGAAAUGCUGGAAAAUCUCUUUUCUUAGCCCGGGUGCUUGAAGAAAGAGUCAGAACUCUUCAUUUCUCCGUCUCAAGGUUGUUUAUUGUGUCUUAUCUAUAAAAAACGUUCUUUUGUUCUGCUGAGUCAGUCAGAGGCACUCUGCCUGCCCCCCGGGGCGGUGUUAUGUUUUUAUACUAAAAACUAAAUGUACAAUAUUCACAAUUACUUUCUAAUACUUAUCACCUGUGUUAGACAGUGAGCUUCUACUCUAAAUUAAUGUAGAAGUGCUAACAUCACAGCAGAAGAUGGAGGCCAAGAAGAAGAAGGAGAAAGGCUGGAUGUGCUUAGAUUCUUCCAUUUUCUUUUUCUGAAUUUCUGUUCUAAAAACUUCAAAAUCUACUUUUUUUUUUACUUUGUGAUAAAUUUGCUAUCAUUCUACUUAAUUACUAAUUAAUUAAUUAAUUAAUUAUUCUAAAUUUACUAUCAUUCUUAACUACUUAAUUUGUCAUGGCUUGCAGAUCUUCAUCUAAGGUUGGUAAUAAUUCAAACCACAGGCAUUUUGGGCUCCGUGCCAGGGUCUCUGAGCCCCCUGGCAGGGUCUGGGC